Molecule: non-coding RNA, 174 nt
Organism: Acinetobacter tandoii
Lineage: Bacteria; Pseudomonadati; Pseudomonadota; Gammaproteobacteria; Moraxellales; Moraxellaceae
Source: Rfam
CCCAUGCAGUUCAUCGAGCAUGGAUAGGAUAUGCAGGAAAGCAAGAAUCAGAUUUGGGAGUGAUGCCCCGCCAAAAAAUGAAUACGAAAGCUGAAAACUAAAAAUACUGUGCCUAUCCAGUGGUUUUUAAAGUAAGCGAGUAGCCGUGGACCACAGCACUGAGCUUCUGUGGUU